RNAcentral lists this ribosomal RNA (396 nucleotides) under uncultured bacterium. RNAcentral's name for it is "partial 16S ribosomal RNA". It matches the Rfam family "Bacterial small subunit ribosomal RNA", at positions 338 to 732 of the family's 1533-position model. The record is from RNAcentral.
CCUACGGGUGGCAGCAGUGAGGAAUAUUGGUCAAUGGGCGGGAGCCUGAACCAGCCAAGUCGCGUGAGGGAAGAAGGUACUGAGUAUUGUAAACCUCUUUUGCCAGGGGACAAAUGCGGCCACUUGAGGCCGUAAGAGGGUACCUGUACAAACAGCAUCGGCUAACUACGUGACAGCAGCCGCGGUAAUCCGGAGGGUGCGAGCGUUAACCGGAUUUAUUGGGUUUAAAGGGUGCGAAGGUGGUGGCUCAAGUCAGCGGGGAAAUGUCGUGGCUCAACCGCGGCAAGCCGUUGAAACUGGCGUGCUCGAGUUGGAGAGAGGUGUGGGGAAUUCGUGGUGUAGCGGUGAAAUGCAUAGAUAUCACGAAGAACACCGGUUGCGAAGGCGGCAUACCGG